AAGACUAUACUUUCAGGGAUCAUUUCUAUAGUUCAUUACUAGAGAAGUCUCUCUGAUCCUGUAGAGCACCGGAAACACAAGAAGGAGGUACAGCAUUCUUUCCUGAGCGUGAGGCUGGCUCCUGGUGCUGCUUUAUUGCAGCUGCCAUUUGCCUUUGAUGAUCCCUCUUCUCUGCUCUCAUGCAGGGUGAGAGAGAGAGUGUGUGGUCUAAGUGG
This 215-nucleotide small nucleolar RNA is filed under the name Echinops telfairi (small Madagascar hedgehog). Its description in RNAcentral is "Small nucleolar RNA U3 (ENSETEG00000021790.1)". It matches the Rfam family "Small nucleolar RNA U3". Rfam says of the family: Small nucleolar RNAs (snoRNAs) are involved in the processing and modification of rRNA in the nucleolus. The record is from RNAcentral. Lineage: Eukaryota; Metazoa; Chordata; Mammalia; Afrosoricida; Tenrecidae.